This 284-nucleotide ribosomal RNA is filed under the name Bacillus sp. Wb2n-1. Its description in RNAcentral is "partial 16S ribosomal RNA". It matches the Rfam family "Bacterial small subunit ribosomal RNA", at positions 171 to 448 of the family's 1533-position model. The record is from RNAcentral. Lineage: Bacteria; Bacillati; Bacillota; Bacilli; Caryophanales; Bacillaceae.
GGAUGCUUGUUUGAACCGCAUGGUUCAAACAUAAAAGGUGGCUUCGGCUACCACUUACAGAUGGACCCGCGGCGCAUUAGCUAGUUGGUGAGGUAAUGGCUCACCAAGGCAACGAUGCGUAGCCGACCUGAGAGGGUGAUCGGCCACACUGGGACUGAGACACGGCCCAGACUCCUACGGGAGGCAGCAGUAGGGAAUCUUCCGCAAUGGACGAAAGUCUGACGGAGCAACGCCGCGUGAGUGAUGAAGGUUUUCGGAUCCUAAAGCUCUGUUGUUAGGGAAGA